UCGUAACAAGGUCUCCGUUGGUGAACCAGGCGGAGGGAUCAUUA
Molecule: ribosomal RNA, 44 nt
Filed under: Truncatella angustata
Lineage: Eukaryota; Fungi; Ascomycota; Sordariomycetes; Amphisphaeriales; Sporocadaceae
Description: partial 18S ribosomal RNA
Source: RNAcentral